This 72-nucleotide transfer RNA is filed under the name Streptococcus pneumoniae SPNA45. RNAcentral describes it as "tRNA-Gly-GCC". The record is from RNAcentral. Lineage: Bacteria; Bacillati; Bacillota; Bacilli; Lactobacillales; Streptococcaceae.
ACUGAUAGCACUUAAAGCGACGCUUUCUAAGGAGGAUUCUAGUAGGCAUACCAGUUGUUUCGAGGUAAGGGA